This 88-nucleotide unclassified non-coding RNA is filed under the name Pseudomonas thivervalensis. Lineage: Bacteria; Pseudomonadati; Pseudomonadota; Gammaproteobacteria; Pseudomonadales; Pseudomonadaceae. The record is from RNAcentral.
GUGGGAGCCGAGCUUGCUCGCGAUAGCGGUGGUUCAGCAGCAUGUUUUUGGCUGACACACCGCUAUCGCGAGCAAGCUCGGCUCCCAC